AUCCACCAAUACACACACACACACACACACACACACACACACACACACCCUCUGAGACAACUAUUUUUCUGGUAAACAUUCUGAGAAAAUUCAGGAAAUCACAAAGUGAUGCAACAAUAGAUCAGAUCGGUGACAAUUUUUUGUGUUCACAGAUGUCGGAGCCACAUCCAGUCUGCCUGUUUAACUGAAAUGAUAACAAAGGAAACAAAAGGUUCAUCUGGCCAAGUGAGCUGUUUAUGGCUGCAGGAACUGCAUCGGCUGCAUCUACUGUUUACAGUGUGGUAGUUGUGACAGAGGACAGUUGUAGCUCUCCCGAUUGUUGUAACAUUGAAGUUGUAAAAUGCAGUUUCACAAUGCACACUGUUACAAACCUGUGUGCAUUUUGUUCUUGGGUAUGAACAAAAAGAAAAAUCCAAUUUCAUCAUCCCGCCUGAAUGCUUACCUGUAAUUCCACGCAGCCAAAGCAAAGCUAUCCGUUCUUUUAAACGUUUAGUUUAUUACAAGCAGUAACAAAGAGACAUUGGACAUGGAUGGCAGAUAGUUUGGGAACGUCUUUUGCUUGGAACCAUUCCUCUUUCCAGUAUUGAUGCACGGCAUGGCUAGUCCAGUUGGGAGCCAACUCCCAGUGUUGCUGGUGCUUACGGGCCCGGACCUGCAUCAUUAUCACAGCACUGAGCAUUGGCAGUCAGGCCACACUCGCCCCUCUCUUACCCCGGUGAUAAACUACUGACUGGACUCCGGGCGGAUAGGUUUUUCAGCAUGCCUCAGCGCCAAAAAGCACAUCAAUUAUUCAACCUCACAGUGGCCUAUUGUAAUUACUCUGCCAGCCAUCACCACCGUAAGUCAAUGAAAUAAGCAACGAGAUGCAAAAGCCGUACUCCUGCGGCAUAGCCAAGUGCAACCGGAUUAGUUUGUCCUUGUAUCCAGAAGGACACUGAGCCAGUGAGACAAAGCGAAGCGAAGUAAACAUGCACACCUCAGAAUGACAUUAUUGAAAUAUGCAACGCACGUCCGGUAUAUUUUGCUGCUGCUUUUUGUUUCUGGACGUCACUCUUUAAUGACUUGUGGGAGAUCCUGGCGCUCGUAAAGAGUGCAGGUCACGAAACACGUCGAGAGAGUCGUGGAAAGCAGGUGAUCAGAAGUCAUCAUCUGGCAGACAGAGUAAUGGAGCCGACAUGGACACGGAAAACACAGACUCACGGACAAAUUGGCAAAAACCGCACGCUGAAUCAGAGUUCAGAAUACUAAUCAAUGUCUCCCCGUUUACAUUUCACAUGACCGUCUCCUUGCCUUCACUCUCACAAAGCCCCUGUAAUCGCCGCAGAAUAUAGAUUGGUUGUUCAUCAGUCUGCGCACGAGCAACAAUCAUACGAGAUAGCGGGCAGGGAGUGAGGGGUAGGGAGGACAGUGAGAGGGGGGGGGGGAGAGAAAGUGACACACAGUACGGCACACGGGGACACGCAGCCUCACCGCCGUAGUUUUAGCCAAUGCUCACCCCUGAGGAAAGAUGGGGGGAAGACGGAAGAAAAAGAGGUGACUUACUUCUAUGGUCCUAUGAUUCUUCGUGAGCCUUAUCGAGAGACGUAAGAGCGUCCACUGACACAGAUGGAGAGACGGCGAGGGAGAAACAGUUGGCGAGGAAGAGGAGAUGAGGAGGGAGACCGGAGGGCUUGACUCGGAGUGCUGCUUUUGCUGUGUUGCACACUGUAAAAUUGUGCGUGUGUGUGUGUGUGUGUGUGUGUGUGUGUGUGUUGAGGCUCUCCAAGGGGCUCUGUGCAGAUACACUUAACCAAGUUGCUCCUGAACCUUUUGUUCACUCGUUUCGUCGCCUGCAUUUUUACCACGGGCGCACGUGCGAACUCGUGCCAUUUGAUUGCAAGUUGCCGUAUCACACAGCUUUGAGGGUUUGGCACCACUCAGAUGAAGGCAUACCCCCCCCCCCCCCUCCCUAAAUACUGAUUCAUAGGCAAAUAAUGAAAGCAUCUCUGCCCAGACCAGGCACGGAGUAGUGGUGUUUUGAAGAGAUAAGGAAAAUGGGCUCCAUUCACAGCAGUAGGAGACUGAGACAAAUUGAUCCCCUCAUUCUCUCAGUCAGUUGUUGUAAGUGAGAAUAAUGCCGAGAGCUGUCACUUGAGCGUGUGAAGAUACUCACUAAUAUCCACACAUUAUAACUACAGAUAAUUCACGUUGUUUUUUUUUUUUUUUGUCUUUUUCCGUGAAGUCAAAUGAAGCCUCCUGCCCUCUGAGACACACAUAGAAAUGUUUCGAGGAGCGGAGGCUUUUGCAGCAUGCAAUUAGCCCGAUGUGGGGGUUAUUGUUGUCGAAAGCGCGAGGAGGCCAUAGAAAUCGCGAGCACAAUGAUGGCAGGUGUGGAAUUAGCGACGUCUCCCCACCGCCGUUGUCGAGGCACUUGCAGAACAACCCUCUCUCAAGUUUGGAGCGAAUCUUUAGCAGCCCAGUGAAAGAAACUUUGGAAAACAAAGACGUCAGCUGUGACUGCAGCUUGGCACGAACAUCGAUGUAUUGAAUAUUAAGCGAGCAUGGCUUGAGUUUGCAGACUUGUUCUUCCAUGACAGAAUGUCAGAAUCACCUUUGUUUUUUUAAAGCACCUUAAAAAAAAACGCUGACCGUAAUCUGUCAUGUCAAAGCCUAAAAAUCGGCCUCUCCCUUUUCACCCGUGCUUUCGUUUUGCGCCAGGAAUAGGCAACCCCAUCUCCUGCCACAACAAUAACAACCCGCUUUCACAAAAGCAGGAUGCAUCUGAUAGCUCUGGCAAGGCUUUCUUUUUACAAACUCUCCGUCUCUGGGCUGCGGUCCACUAAAGCAUGGACACUGCCCUGUAACAAGACGGAUAUUUCCCUCUGGGGUUUUGGGAUUUAUUGCCUGUAGCAUUUAUGGAGAGGUCCCAGUUGGAGAUGACAGCAAAUGCACACAUACACACACAUACACGGAGGGGUUAGAAAUGCUAAUUUAGACACACAUAGGGGGGGUAUAAAUCCAGUCCUCAUUGUGAAUUCAGCACGUUGGCUGUAUUGUGCAGUGGUGAGCCCCUUUAUUCAAUUGAGCUGCCAUCCAUCGUGGAUGUGGCAUUGAGCAGGCACGUACCGGGAGCCCCCACAGGAGCAUUAGACUCACUCAAACACACAGGGACUGUUUGCAUACAUAUAAACAGACAGCGUAGAGAUGCAAAGACCCAUUAGGACUGUAAUGGCCUGAUGCAACUCUCUGUAGGGUCAUUAUUGUCCGCUGAGGAAUUCAAAAAGAUAUCGCCUUCAGAAGGCCGGGCGUCUCUGAGCACGGGUCGCUGUCUCUCCAAAGAUAUCGGCGCGUGAUUGUAUGCGACUAUGCACACUACUGCAUCCUCGAGUAUGCACUCGCUGCCACGCUGCCACGUAAUAAAGCCCCCGUGGGUUUUCAAAUGCAGGAGCGAAGACAAAAGGAUGUUACCGUAUGUUCACACUCUAAAGUGUUGUUAACCACUGAAGAAGGUUUCCAGAUUAAGUAAAGAGCAUCGCCAGGGACCAGCAACCUCGCCAGGAUGUUCUUCUUGUUAAAACAUCCAAGGGAAGUCUGAACUCUCAAACAGAGCACGCUUCAUUUAAUAAGUUGAAUGAAUGCUCAGUUGUGAAUUCAUUCAACUCAUAAUUUUUAUGUCAAAAGACAGGUGAACACAUAAUAUAUUUAAAACUUAAAGGAGCAAGAGUAUAAAUACAUAUUAAAUCUAAAUGUUUUAAUAAUGUUGCUUAGAAUCCCUAUUGUUAAAUUAUUAGUCAGAGUAGUACAAGUAGAAGUAUCAUAUUUAGUAACAGCAGUAAAAACAAAUCAGUUGCUUUUUACCUCCGGCAGCCACAGUUGUUUGAAAUAGUUGCGUGUGCUGCAGCCACGAGGAUCCCUACUGAGCCCGUGAGAAAAGAUGGCCCAUCAACACCGUACGAUCCCACUGAUGGAUGUUGGGAACUAUAAUUGUAAUGAUUGGUGUGAGGAGCACAGACGAGAGGUGUUUAGCCUACGAGGUGAGCCGUGGCCCAGUCGCUACGAGGUGAGCCGUGGCCCAGUCGCUACGAGGUGAGCCGAGGCCCCGUCGCUACGAGGUGAGCCGUGGCCCAGUCGCUACGAGGUGAGCCGUGGCCCCGUCGCUACGAGGUGAGCCGUGGCCCAGUCGCUACGAGGUGAGCCGUGGCCCAGUCGCUACGAGGUGAGCCGUGGCGAGCCGUGGCCCCCGGCCCUUGUUGUCACGAAGUGGAGUUACAGGCCUCCAACAGCAAUCUGCACACAAUGCAAUGCCAAGGCACAGCGAGCAAUCUUUCCUCAGCCGCUACAGGUUCCACAUCCAGCUUCUCUCGCUCUCCUCUGAACCCCUUUAGUUCAUUAACACCCACUCUUCAUUUAUAGAGGAAAACACAUACGAGUUUGGAGCUUUGGGGCAACUUUUAACAACGUUCGCCAAUGCGUGAGUUGAAUCUAGUCAUUUUCUAACUCAACACCCAAUCUUUAACAUCUUCAAACUGAUCAUGCCCUCUCCCCCCACAUCUUUGCAGCUUUUCUUUCUAUCGCUGUUAUCGAAAAAUCAAGAUUUGCGUUGGUUUAUCUCAAGAGAGACAGAAUGACUUUAACUGGACACGUCUUUUUAAGUCAAAACAAUGCCUGCAUCAAAAAGACAGCAGUUCUACACAAACCCAGUACGGCGGUUUCUCACAUAUAACGCAGCCCGCUCUCUAACAGAAGAGACCCAUAGCGCCAUUAGCAUGUUUAACACGGUUACCGCGUGUGAGUGGCAGCGAGGCAUCAUUGCUCAUAUGACAUUCAUUGUGCUGCUGCCUGCUGGUGCAGAAUGCUGACAUGCAAUGACUGGCAAAAGUCAGCAGGAGCCCUGCUGUCCCUCACCCUCCUGCUGGGGAGGCCUGUGUGUACACCCGGGAGGGGAGUGGUGGAGGGAGGGUGAGCAGGAGGAGACAGACGGAGAGAGAGAGAGAGAGAGAGAGAGGGAGAACCUCUUUAGAGCGAAUGGAGCAUCAGGCCAUAUCCAUCUCCUCCGUUUCCUUAUGAAUAUGUAAACCAGAGAAGUCAAUAGGCAUCGACCAUUCUCCUCCCCCAAGAGGAGGAGAGGAGAGAAAUGAGCGCUCCCCUCUGAUGCUUUCAUCCAAUAAUGGUGGAUCUCUCUGUGGCACGUUAUAGAUACCUCCGUGUGUGUGUGUGUGUGUGUGUGUAAGUGCUUCAAAGUAUGUGUGUGGGCUACAAAUGGGAGAGCCUGGUAGCCAUUUAUUGAAAACAAUUGUCGCCUGAAAAUUGCCUUUUCGAUAACGUGCAUCUGUCUUUGGGUCGUGUCACAUUAUGGAAAUGGAGGAAAUGUAAGGAGCCUUUGACGUUUCUUGUCCUUUUCUGGGGGCAAAUGUGGUCAGGGUUUCUCUGCUGUUGUGAUGUGGGGACUUGAAAGCCUUAAUAUCCUGAUGCUUGGGCCAAAACCACUCCCUCUCCCCUCGUGCUGCCCUCGGCUGCAUGUGUGUGCGUGUGUGUCUUUGAGUGAAACAUUGGCACGGCAUCAGUGACAGAACAUACCUCACCGCAAGUGCGUUUGAUGGUCCGAGACGAGAAGGAAGCAUUUGGUUUAGAUCAUUCUCAGAGUGUUACUCACACACACACAUACACACACACACACACACGUCCCAGCGAGCCGGAUUAAAGCGAGAGGUCAAGUCAGGAGCAUUCUCCGUCGCUGUUAUCACCAUCGCCGCCACAUCGUCUAUUGAUCCCCCCCGGAUCACUGAUCGGUCUGCUCACGGUUUUCAGACAUCCCCAUUAGGUCCGUCGGAGCGGUGGUCAGCUGCGCUUUAUGCAAUUCUUUAUACCACCAGUUAUUAAGUAUUGAUCGGCCUUCCUGGCUGUGGGAACUUCCUGUGCUUGACUUUGUGCAGACUCUUGAUAUAGAACAAUGUGAUCAAUGUUUUCCUUCAUACGACGAUGAGGGGAUUUGAAUAGCAGUAGAAUAUAAAAUAAAUAUAAGUAUCAGAGUGUAGCUACAUGAAGUUACAGGGGCUUUAUGUAAAUAUCACUCUGAUGAUUUCUUCAGGUUUGAGGCAUUUCAUUGGUUACAAUUUUCCGUGAAUCCCAGUAUGGAGACGGAUAAUCCAAAAAUGAAGACAGAAACUGUGCGCGUGGAAUUAGCACUGCAUCUAAAUGACAUAUUUUGUAACUGAAAGAUAAAAUUAAACUAAUGGUACAGUGUUACAAAACUGUAAAUCUUCACUGUGAAUAUUCAUCUAAAUAUUUCCAAUACAUCGGAGAAAGCUCCCAAUUAUAGAAAAAUAUGAUUAAUAUGAUGACUGCUAUUCUUCCUCACUAAUUGUGCAGCUGUAAUUAAUCACUCAUACUUCUCAUUCAUGCUAUUAACAUAAUAUUUGUACACUCAAUAGUUGCCAUUCACACACAGGCAGUAACUUUAUAUUAGUUAAAAAUAUUGUAUGUAUAUCCAUGUUUCAUCUUCACUAUCCCCAUAAUCUGUUGUUGCAAAUCCCUCAAAUCAUUGAAGUGUCAUAUCUCAUCAAGCUAAUGGAAACGCUGGAGCAGAAGUGGCCUUUGAGCAAUCUCAAAGCUCCUUGCUACCAAUAAAGGGGGGGGGGGGGGGAUCAGUAGCUCCCCCUGCUAUAGUUACCUCUAUACCAACCACUGUGACGUCUGCUGUCCCCUUCUCUUCCCGUGGAGGUCAAAAAACACAUUUCAUUAUUUCCCUCUCAUCCUUUAAUCCUCUCCUGCCUGACGUAAGCACUCGGCUGCAGAGUGCACACUCGCUGCGAAUGGUCAACAAAGAGUUUUUCUUGGGGUCAUAAAUGUGUGUGUGUGUGUGUGUGUGGAGGGAGCGGGGUGCCGAUGGCUGACAGGAAAUGCAGAGUAGGAGGAAGAUGCAUGAAGAACGAGAGAGAGAGAGAGAGAGGGGGAAUUUAUGGCAACAUUGUCACCGCAAUCCCUUGUCAUCCGAGGUUUACACGAGGAUUACAGCUCAAGGCCCAAUUAUUACCUGGGAGGCUGCAGGAGAAGCGCAAUGUCAAAACUCGCGUCGGCAAACCCGAACGCCACGUGAAGAGCGCGCAGCGACUCGAGCCACAGCGGGUCAGCGUAUGGUCAAAGCGCCGGGCGAGCCGGCGGCGUGUCAGGCGGCGUUAAGCUGAGGACCAGCCAGCUCCAUCGCACCUGUCAGCGCCUCCAGACGGCUGCCAGUCACAAACACGCCGCAAUCCUCCCACGUGAUUGUGUUCGUCUUUGUGUGCGAGUGUGUGUAUAGCUGACAAGCGUCUGUGCAUGGCGUGCGCACUAACAGGCGACCUUUGUCUCCCCCCCCCCCCCCACACUCCCCCCAUACCCCCCACUGACGGUGUUAUUUCUGUGCUUUGACACCUCAUGAAACGUAAAUUGGAUUGUAAGAAAUUUCAUAGAGCCACGGUUGGAGGAGAAGUGGGCGUCAGUAGGAAGGAUCCUCUUUUAAAUCCCGGUGUUCGGGGGCCGCGGCGGCUCAAGGGUAAUGUAUGCAGCAUCAUGGCCAGCCUGGACCCAUGCAGAGAGAGGGGUCGUCGCCACGGCAGCGUCGCCAACAGAACAUUGGGCUGUUCUCUGUCAGACAGACACAGUAUUAUUCGCUAAGUGUAUUCAUCCUUUGUUCCCAUUGUCUCAUCCUGGCAAUCAGCUAAUCACCACUAAUCAAAUAAUCAAGACUUUGCACGUAUUUAAUCAGGCAAUUGCGCAUCAUAAAAUCCAAGGAAACUCUCACAAAACAGAAUCCACGGCUGUGCUUUUAUUUUUCAAUAAGCAAAACGAUCUCCUUAAAAAAGAAAAAUAAAUGAACCAAAGGGUGCCAACAACAACAAAUCUGUGCAGUUCAAAACACACUUUCUGAAGCUGUGUCAACGACAAUAAAUGGCCGGGGGCAUUUAAUAGGGAUCUCUAGUUUAUACCGAUUAGCUGUGAAGUGAAAUGACUCCACAAAGCUCACUGAACGCCGAGUCUUCAACUGAAAUCACAGUUUAUUUUGCCUCCAUUUAGCGGGCCGUAAUCGUUUAAAAUAAUAUUUAGACCCGAGAUUACAAAGCGGUUGGCUUUAAUGCUUCCGUUUCAUUUUAAUCAUCUGCCACCGCCUCGCACCUCGUUGCAGCCACCUCUGCAAAAGAGACGCCGAGUGCAACGUGGACACACAUAGAGACAUUGGUUCCAUUGUUUACCGGGGCUAUAGAUCCCGGGGCAAUAAGGCGUGGCUAAUUGCUGCUGCGUGCGAGCCGAGUUCGGGUAGUCCAGCUCUCGGGAAGAGUCCCGUGUUGCUGCGAGAGCCGGAGGCAGAGACAGUAAUGAUUAUGGAAUUACCAUGGCAGAGAUGGUGAUGGCUAUCCUAAUGAUUUCAUGUUACUGUAAUUAGCAUUAUGAGCUGGCUUGGUG
Long non-coding RNA from Gasterosteus aculeatus aculeatus (three-spined stickleback), 8418 nucleotides. NCBI's taxonomy places the organism in Eukaryota, Metazoa, Chordata, Actinopteri, Perciformes, Gasterosteidae. The record is from Ensembl.